Molecule: ribosomal RNA, 481 nt
Filed under: uncultured bacterium
Lineage: Bacteria
Description: partial 16S ribosomal RNA
Rfam family: Bacterial small subunit ribosomal RNA
Source: RNAcentral
AUUGAACGCUGGCGGCAUGCUUUACACAUGCAAGUCGAACGGUAACAGGCCGCAAGGUGCUGACGAGUGGCGAACGGGUGAGUAAUGCAUCGGAACGUGCCCAGUCGUGGGGGAUAACUACUCGAAAGAGUAGCUAAUACCGCAUACGAUCUAUGGAUGAAAGCGGGGGACCGUAAGGCCUCGCGCGAUUGGAGCGGCCGAUGUCAGAUUAGGUAGUUGGUGGGGUAAAGGCUCACCAAGCCAACGAUCUGUAGCUGGUCUGAGAGGACGACCAGCCACACAGGGACUGAGACACGGCCCAGACUCCUACGGGAGGCAGCAGUGGGGAAUUUUGGACAAUGGGCGCAAGCCUGAUCCAGCAAUGCCGCGUGCAGGAAGAAGGCCUUCGGGUUGUAAACUGCUUUUGUACGGAACGAAAAGGCUCUGGUUAAUACCCGGGGCUAAUGACGGUACCGUAAGAAUAAGCACCGGCUAACUACGU